GCUGAAACACCGGUUCUCGUACGAUCACCGAAGUUAAGCAGCGUAGAGCCAGGUCAGUACUUAGAUGGGGGACCGCUUGGGAACACCUGGUACUGUAAG
RNAcentral lists this ribosomal RNA (99 nucleotides) under Acanthosepion pharaonis. Lineage: Eukaryota; Metazoa; Mollusca; Cephalopoda; Sepiida; Sepiidae. The record is from RNAcentral.